RNAcentral lists this long non-coding RNA (963 nucleotides) under Homo sapiens (human). Its description in RNAcentral is "novel transcript, antisense to CCNF". Lineage: Eukaryota; Metazoa; Chordata; Mammalia; Primates; Hominidae. The record is from RNAcentral.
CAGGGAUGUCUCUUAGGGACGGAAUGUGGAAAGCUCUCCAUGGUCUUGGUGGAAAGUGUAAUGCCUGAAGCCCACCAUAGUGCAAAGCAGCUGUGUUUCAGGAGAGUAGAGCCCUCCAGGAUGGGGGCACCUGUCUUUUCUCCCCCUACUUCAUUAAUGUCUAGAACAGGUGGGUCAUUGUGAUCAAUGCCCCUGCUGUGGUCCUCCCGGAAGCCUGGAUUCUGAAGGUCAGGGGAAGGAGACCCCGCGACGCUUCAUGUCCCACCCUCCCUCCAGCUGGGAACCACCGCCUGACCCCUGGGCCAAAGGCUCACACUUAUCUGAAGCGCCAACAUGCAGGUGGGGUGAGGACUUACGGCCUUCAUUGUAGAGGGACUUACAGCUCGGACGGCCAGGAUGUCCUCUACAGAAAGCCAUUUCAGGAUGUGAAAGAGCACAUCUUCGGGGAGACUCAAGAUGGUCAGGUUUCGGGGCCUCCUCCUUAUUCUUCGCUUUGUAGGAUAACAGAAACACUUGGCACACCUACAGUGGACCACUGAAGGAAAAAAAGACAGAAGCCUUGAUAAGAUGAAAAAUUAUUCUAUAUACACACCCUUGAAGGGAAAAAAAAAGGAUAAAAGUUACAUCUGAAGAUGAUCUAAUGGUUACUAUUCCCUGUGCCACAAAAGAUGGAACUAUGCUUCUUGUCCCAAACAAAGAUUAUGUAAAGGAGUGGCAUUGCACAAAUUACAGAAGAGAUCAUUCAUUUUCAAAUAUUCAACAAAUAUUUAUGGCAAAUAGCGCAUGUCAUGUAACUUGGCUAUUGGGAAACUUUCUGAUCCAGAGCCCACAUGACAGGCAGGAAGGGGAAAAAGCUGCCGAAGCUGAGGACGGUUUUCCUUCUAUUUCACUCUCAGGAAAACUCCUGGGGCCUUUGCUGGAUAGCUUUGCUUUUUGCACACGUGACCAAGGUGCAUAAUGUUC